AAUAAAGAGCUGAGUAUUUUUAAGCAGCCUGUUGACCCUAUUGUCAAUCUUUGCAUACGCUAAACAUUUCGUUAGGCAACAGACUGAUACCACUUAUCGAUUAAUUAUGAGUUACUGGUUGUAACUAAGACCACCAGCUCGCUGACCUAUGAAUAACCUUUUCAAAGUGCGUUUCUCCAUGGAGUUAACAAAUCAUUACUUUUAUUGACCGAUGUAGAUAAGCCUUUGCUUGUGGUAAACAUUUCGUCAGCCAACAGACCAGUAUUGCAUAUCGUUUAUUUAGCAGAUACUGGUUGUAAUUAAGACUACUAGUUUGCUGAGCUAUGGAUAACCCUGUGCAUGUGGUAUAUUUUCAUCAGCCAGCAGGCUGACGUCACAAUUCAAGCUGUUGACCUGAUGGAUAAUCUGUAAACAUUUCAUCAGCCAACUGGCAGGUAUCAGAUCGAUUAAUUAGCAGGCUUUCUGUUAUAAUUAAGACUGCUAGAUUGUUGACCUAUGGAUAACCCUCUGCAUGGGGUACAAAUUUCAUCAGCCAGUAGGCUGAUGUCACGUUUCAGCAUGUUGACUGAUGGAUAACCUUUUCGUUUUGUAGAAGCUGUAAAGCAUACAUCUUCUAACCUUCUGGAUAACCUUUUAAGACAAAAAAGUGGAACUUUAGAGAUAUCCUGGUGGAGUGUGUAUAUAAACUCAUUCACAGAUCAGAGAAGUCAGAGUUCUACAAGUCAAUAGCUGUGUUAUUGAUCUUGCUGCAAAGACCUAUAAAAAUGAAUCCUUCAUUGCAGAACCUUAAUGCUCUUGGCAGUGGGGCUAGUAUACAGAAGGCAACAAUGAGGUUUUCAACAUUACCUAUAAAUGAGAAGUUCAUAAUACUACGGGCAAAAAGGGUUACUACACCCUUUGGUCCGGCGGUGCUUGUGGAAUUAGAAAGCACAAAAGUCUUCCUUCCUACUCGGUUUUCUAAGAUGAGCGAGGAAGAUUUGGAGUACCUCAACAGUGGAAAAAAUUCAUUUAACAUAUACUGGAAG
Molecule: long non-coding RNA, 1025 nt
Organism: Schistocerca cancellata (South American locust)
Lineage: Eukaryota; Metazoa; Arthropoda; Insecta; Orthoptera; Acrididae
Exons: 2
Source: RefSeq, a predicted model, not a curated record